This 244-nucleotide long non-coding RNA is filed under the name Lathyrus oleraceus (garden pea). RNAcentral describes it as "Pisum sativum (pea) long non-coding RNA (PSAT_LNC002506)". The record is from RNAcentral. Lineage: Eukaryota; Viridiplantae; Streptophyta; Magnoliopsida; Fabales; Fabaceae.
AAAGUAAGGGUAAAGUAGGAAUAGUCUAAUAAGGAGACUAAGUUUUUAGUGUAAAAAGAGAAUUAGAAGGAAGGAGUUGAGCAAUACAUAGAAUUUUUAGGAGAAAGGAGGAAAAGGAGGCUAGGGCAAGAGAAAGAGCAAGAGAAGAGCAGGAAGAGAGCUAACAUAGAAGGAGAGGAGAACCAAGAGAAUAACGAACCUUUGCUAAUAGGAGAAUAAGGUAAGGGGGAGAAUAACCUUCAAU